RNAcentral lists this ribosomal RNA (253 nucleotides) under uncultured bacterium. RNAcentral describes it as "partial 16S ribosomal RNA". It matches the Rfam family "Bacterial small subunit ribosomal RNA", at positions 524 to 776 of the family's 1533-position model. The record is from RNAcentral.
UACAGAGGUCCCAAGCGUUGUUCGGAUUCAUUGGGCGUAAAGGGUGCGUAGGUGGCGCCGUAAGUCGGGUGUGAAAUUUCGGAGCUUAACUCCGGAACUGCAUUCGAUACUGCGGUGCUUGAGGACUGGAGAGGAGACUGGAAUUCAUGGUGUAGCAGUGAAAUGCGUAGAGAUCAUGAGGAAGACCAGUGGCGAAGGCGGGUCUCUGGACAGUUCCUGACACUGAGGCACGAAGGCCAGGGGAGCAAACGGG